AGCAGCCGCGGUAAUUCCAGCUCCAAUAGCGUAUAUUAAAGUUGUUGCAGUUAAAAGCUCGUUGUUGAACUUCGGGAUCAAUAUGUUGGUCGUGCCUCGGUACGUACUAGCUUAUUGGUUUCUCCUUUCUGAAGAACCAUGAUGUCAUUUAUUUGGUGUCGUGGGGAAUCAGGACUGUUACUUUGAAAAAGUUGAGUGUUUAAAGCAGGCUCACGCUUGAAUACAUUAGCAUGGAAUAAUGAAAUAGGACGUUUGAUUCUAUUUUGUUGGUUUCUAGGAUCGACGUAAUGAUUGAUAGGGAUAGUUGGGGGCAUUAGUAUUCAAUUGUCAGAGGUGAAAUUCUUGGAUUUAUUGAAGACUAACUACUGCGAAAGCAUUUGCCAAGGAUGUUUUCAUUAAUUCAAGAACGAAAGUUAGGGAUCGAAGACGAUCAGAUACCGUCGUAGUACUUAACCAUAAACUAUGCCGACUAGGAUCGGAUGAUGUUAAUUUUUAA
RNAcentral lists this unclassified non-coding RNA (496 nucleotides) under uncultured Glomus. RNAcentral describes it as "SSU rRNA". It matches the Rfam family "Eukaryotic small subunit ribosomal RNA", at positions 569 to 1073 of the family's 1831-position model. Lineage: Eukaryota; Fungi; Glomeromycota; Glomeromycetes; Glomerales; Glomeraceae. The record is from RNAcentral.